GGUCGAUUAGCUCAGCGGUAGAGCAGAGUCUCGAUAAGGCUUUGGUCAUAGGUUCGAAUCCUAUAUCGACUA
RNAcentral lists this transfer RNA (72 nucleotides) under Acinetobacter phage Ab_121. It matches the Rfam family "tRNA". From Rfam's summary of the family: Transfer RNA (tRNA) molecules are approximately 80 nucleotides in length. Their secondary structure includes four short double-helical elements and three loops (D, anti-codon, and T loops). RNAcentral also lists the same sequence under 1 other name. The record is from Rfam by way of RNAcentral. Lineage: Duplodnaviria; Heunggongvirae; Uroviricota; Caudoviricetes; Luriaviridae.